This 253-nucleotide ribosomal RNA is filed under the name uncultured bacterium. Its description in RNAcentral is "partial 16S ribosomal RNA". It matches the Rfam family "Bacterial small subunit ribosomal RNA", at positions 524 to 776 of the family's 1533-position model. The record is from RNAcentral.
UACGGGGGGGGCAAGCGUUGUUCGGAAUUACUGGGCGUAAAGGGCUCGUAGGCGGCCAACUAAGUCAGACGUGAAAUCCCUCGGCUUAACCGGGGAACUGCGUCUGAUACUGGAUGGCUUGAGGUUGGGAGAGGGAUGCGGAAUUCCAGGUGUAGCGGUGAAAUGCGUAGAUAUCUGGAGGAACACCGGUGGCGAAAGCGGCAUCCUGGACCGACACUGACACUGAGAAGCGAAAGCCAGGGGAGCAAACGGG